RNAcentral lists this ribosomal RNA (442 nucleotides) under Serratifera sp. Its description in RNAcentral is "SSU rRNA". It matches the Rfam family "Eukaryotic small subunit ribosomal RNA", at positions 599 to 1050 of the family's 1831-position model. Lineage: Eukaryota; Bacillariophyta; Fragilariophyceae; Fragilariales; Fragilariaceae. The record is from RNAcentral.
UUAUAUUAAAGUUGUUGCAGUUAAAAAGCUCGUAGUUGGAUUUGUGGGUGGAGCGAACGUCCUGACGCUCAACGUGGGUGAUGCUCGUCUCCGUCCAUCUUUGGGUGGAAUCCGUGUGGCAUUAAGUUGUCGUGCGGGGGAUGCCCAUCUUUUACUGUGAAAAAAUUAGAGUGUUCAAAGCAGGCUUACGCCGUUGAAUAUAUUAGCAUGGAAUAAUGAGAUAGGACCUGGGUACUAUUUUGUUGGUUUGCGCACCGAGGUAAUGAUUAAUAGGGACAGUUGGGGGUAUUCGUAUUCCAUUGUCAGAGGUGAAAUUCUUGGAUUUCUGGAAGACGAACGACUGCGAAAGCAUUUACCGAGGAUGUUUUCAUUAAUCAAGAACGAAAGUAUGGGGAUCGAAUAUGAUUAGAUACCAUCGUAGUCGUCAUAGCUGGUUCCUGGG